GGGUUGUGAGGUUAAGCGACUAAGCGUACACGGUGGAUGCCCUGGCAGUCAGAGGCGAUGAAGGACGUGCUAAUCUGCGAUAAGCGUCGGUAAGGUGAUAUGAACCGUUAUAACCGGCGAUUUCCGAAUGGGGAAACCCAGUGUGUUUCGACACACUAUCAUUAACUGAAUCCAUAGGUUAAUGAGGCGAACCGGGGGAACUGAAACAUCUAAGUACCCCGAGGAAAAGAAAUCAACCGAGAUUCUCCCAGUAGCGGCGAGCGAACGGGGAGCAGCCCAGAGCCUGAAUCAGUGUGUGUGUUAGUGGAAGCGUCUGGAAAGGCGCGCGAUACAGGGUGACAGCCCCGUACACAAAAAUGCACAUGCUGUGAGCUCGAUGAGUAGGGCGGGACACGUGGUAUCCUGUCUGAAUAUGGGGGGGCCAUCCUCCAAGGCUAAAUACUCCUGACUGACCGAUAGUGAACCAGUACCGUGAGGGAAAGGCGAAAAGAACCCCGGCGAGGGGAGUGAAAAAGAACCUGAAACCGUGUACGUACAAGCAGUGGGAGCACGCUUAGGCGUGUGACUGCGUACCUUUUGUAUAAUGGGUCAGCGACUUAUAUUCUGUAGCAAGGUUAACCGAAUAGGGGAGCCGAAGGGAAACCGAGUCUUAACUGGGCGUUAAGUUGCAGGGUAUAGACCCGAAACCCGGUGAUCUAGCCAUGGGCAGGUUGAAGGUUGGGUAACACUAACUGGAGGACCGAACCGACUAAUGUUGAAAAAUUAGCGGAUGACUUGUGGCUGGGGGUGAAAGGCCAAUCAAACCGGGAGAUAGCUGGUUCUCCCCGAAAGCUAUUUAGGUAGCGCCUCGUGAAUUCAUCUCCGGGGGUAGAGCACUGUUUCGGCAAGGGGGUCAUCCCGACUUACCAACCCGAUGCAAACUGCGAAUACCGGAGAAUGUUAUCACGGGAGACACACGGCGGGUGCUAACGUCCGUCGUGAAGAGGGAAACAACCCAGACCGCCAGCUAAGGUCCCAAAGUCAUGGUUAAGUGGGAAACGAUGUGGGAAGGCCCAGACAGCCAGGAUGUUGGCUUAGAAGCAGCCAUCAUUUAAAGAAAGCGUAAUAGCUCACUGGUCGAGUCGGCCUGCGCGGAAGAUGUAACGGGGCUAAACCAUGCACCGAAGCUGCGGCAGCGACACUAUGUGUUGUUGGGUAGGGGAGCGUUCUGUAAGCCUGUGAAGGUGUGCUGUGAGGCAUGCUGGAGGUAUCAGAAGUGCGAAUGCUGACAUAAGUAACGAUAAAGCGGGUGAAAAGCCCGCUCGCCGGAAGACCAAGGGUUCCUGUCCAACGUUAAUCGGGGCAGGGUGAGUCGACCCCUAAGGCGAGGCCGAAAGGCGUAGUCGAUGGGAAACAGGUUAAUAUUCCUGUACUUGGUGUUACUGCGAAGGGGGGACGGAGAAGGCUAUGUUGGCCGGGCGACGGUUGUCCCGGUUUAAGCGUGUAGGCUGGUUUUCCAGGCAAAUCCGGAAAAUCAAGGCUGAGGCGUGAUGACGAGGCACUACGGUGCUGAAGCAACAAAUGCCCUGCUUCCAGGAAAAGCCUCUAAGCAUCAGGUAACAUCAAAUCGUACCCCAAACCGACACAGGUGGUCAGGUAGAGAAUACCAAGGCGCUUGAGAGAACUCGGGUGAAGGAACUAGGCAAAAUGGUGCCGUAACUUCGGGAGAAGGCACGCUGAUAUGUAGGUGAAGUCCCUCGCGGAUGGAGCUGAAAUCAGUCGAAGAUACCAGCUGGCUGCAACUGUUUAUUAAAAACACAGCACUGUGCAAACACGAAAGUGGACGUAUACGGUGUGACGCCUGCCCGGUGCCGGAAGGUUAAUUGAUGGGGUUAGCCGCAAGGCGAAGCUCUUGAUCGAAGCCCCGGUAAACGGCGGCCGUAACUAUAACGGUCCUAAGGUAGCGAAAUUCCUUGUCGGGUAAGUUCCGACCUGCACGAAUGGCGUAAUGAUGGCCAGGCUGUCUCCACCCGAGACUCAGUGAAAUUGAACUCGCUGUGAAGAUGCAGUGUACCCGCGGCAAGACGGAAAGACCCCGUGAACCUUUACUAUAGCUUGACACUGAACAUUGAGCCUUGAUGUGUAGGAUAGGUGGGAGGCUUUGAAGUGUGGACGCCAGUCUGCAUGGAGCCGACCUUGAAAUACCACCCUUUAAUGUUUGAUGUUCUAACGUUGACCCGUAAUCCGGGUUGCGGACAGUGUCUGGUGGGUAGUUUGACUGGGGCGGUCUCCUCCUAAAGAGUAACGGAGGAGCACGAAGGUUGGCUAAUCCUGGUCGGACAUCAGGAGGUUAGUGCAAUGGCAUAAGCCAGCUUGACUGCGAGCGUGACGGCGCGAGCAGGUGCGAAAGCAGGUCAUAGUGAUCCGGUGGUUCUGAAUGGAAGGGCCAUCGCUCAACGGAUAAAAGGUACUCCGGGGAUAACAGGCUGAUACCGCCCAAGAGUUCAUAUCGACGGCGGUGUUUGGCACCUCGAUGUCGGCUCAUCACAUCCUGGGGCUGAAGUAGGUCCCAAGGGUAUGGCUGUUCGCCAUUUAAAGUGGUACGCGAGCUGGGUUUAGAACGUCGUGAGACAGUUCGGUCCCUAUCUGCCGUGGGCGCUGGAGAACUGAGGGGGGCUGCUCCUAGUACGAGAGGACCGGAGUGGACGCAUCACUGGUGUUCGGGUUGUCAUGCCAAUGGCACUGCCCGGUAGCUAAAUGCGGAAGAGAUAAGUGCUGAAAGCAUCUAAGCACGAAACUUGCCCCGAGAUGAGUUCUCCCUGACUCCUUGAGAGUCCUGAAGGAACGUUGAAGACGACGACGUUGAUAGGCCGGGUGUGUAAGCGCAGCGAUGCGUUGAGCUAACCGGUACUAAUGAACCGUGAGGCUUAACCUUACAACGCCGAAGGUGUUU
This 2932-nucleotide ribosomal RNA is filed under the name Escherichia coli. Its description in RNAcentral is "23S ribosomal RNA". It matches the Rfam family "Bacterial large subunit ribosomal RNA". Lineage: Bacteria; Pseudomonadati; Pseudomonadota; Gammaproteobacteria; Enterobacterales; Enterobacteriaceae. The record is from RNAcentral.